UACGGGGGGGGCAAGCGUUGUUCGGAAUUAUUGGGCGUAAAGGGCUCGUAGGCGGUUUGUCGCGUCGGGAGUGAAAACUCAGGGCUUAACCCUGAGCCUGCUUCCGAUACGGGCAGACUAGAGGUAUGCAGGGGAGAACGGAAUUCCUGGUGUAGCGGUGAAAUGCGCAGAUAUCAGGAGGAACACCGGUGGCGAAGGCGGUUCUCUGGGCCGAUACUGACGCUGAGGAGCGAAAGCGUGGGGAGCGAACAGG
This 253-nucleotide ribosomal RNA is filed under the name uncultured bacterium. RNAcentral describes it as "partial 16S ribosomal RNA". It matches the Rfam family "Bacterial small subunit ribosomal RNA", at positions 524 to 776 of the family's 1533-position model. The record is from RNAcentral.